AAAUGAUCUCAGCUUCAGUAUCUCGAGUAAGAAACCUUUCUUCCCUGUGUUGUCUUAUCUUUCCAUUGAUCUUCUGUUGUGGGAGCAGCUGCAGGCUCCCCACCCUGUGAGAGCUUUCGUGUGCCAAGUCAUUGGCUACAGGUGGCAAAGUUGUGGCUCCAGUUCAAGUCUCUCCCCUGGAGCUGGAUGUUCCAGAAAGGACACUCAGUUCUUCAGGGCUGUCUCUGUGAUCCAGGCUUUGAUCUGGGAAAGGUUGCGCCUCAUUGCAGAGUUGAAGCUAUCUGCCUGCUUUGUUUACACGAACGCCCUUCCAGGACUCUGUCUGCUUUUGGGGUGGAAGUGCCCUGCCAAAAACUCCAGCUCUCCAUGCUGGCUGUGUGGCCAGCAUACCUCCUGCCUUUUCAACGAUUCCUCUGCCCUGGAUAGAGAGCGGUGUCUCAUAACAGUUUGGAAACUACAAAAGUUUCCCUGGCAGGAUGAAUGAUUGACUCGGCAACAUGUUCUUGCCUUUUGGAGUUGCCCUCCAAUUUUUCCAGGCUUGAUUCUGUAAAUCAUUUCAUCUUGUAAAAAUACUGGGCUGUGAGCACGGAUGAUCUCAAAGAUGAGGAAACAGAAGCUGGGAUAUGUGAGUAAACAUUUCCAAGGUCCUGCAGCUAAUCAAUGGUUGACAACUUCUUUCCUCUGCCUAUGUUGCCAUCCAUGUCAUGGUUUGUGUCAAGACUCUAGGAGAAGUCUACCAUCAGCACCACAGCUACUGUGCACAAAUCCAGAAUGCCAGACUGAAGUCAGAAGGAAAGAGAUGAUGCAGCUCAUUGCUGAUGCUGAGAUCCAACGUCCAGUGCCUGAGUACCCCUGGAUUCUGAGCACUAGGGGCUGGACUGUGGAGACCAUCAGUUCAUAACAUCCUGUCCCUGCUCCCUGCUGUAGAUGACUGAGACCAGAAAGAAGAUUGGAAAAAUCUCCCAUGACCAAGGAAAAUUGUGAAAAAUAUUUCUGAUAUUUUGUCUAUGCAUUUUAUUUUUGAGGGUGUUUUUUAUAUUAGUGUGACUAUUUUGUAUUUCCUACCCUGUUGUAAACUUUUUAAAAAUUGCUCUUACAGUUAUUACUAAGUAUAUGAUUUAAAAUCCCUAAUUAGGGUUCUUAAACAAGGGAGAAGCACUCUCAUACCCCUAGAACAAGAUGAACAAAAGAAGGAGGAAAAAUCUUGACCUCCGUAAGAUCCAGGAUGGCACGUGCAAGGCACUGACACAGCAUCUGCCGGCAUCACUGACUCUCCUGGACCCCAGAAGCCCAGUUCCCCAGGCUCUGAAACCCUGCAGCAAUGAAAAGGAAGCACAGGCAAACCAUAAGGAAGAUAAUUUUUCUACUAAAAAAUAAAUAGAAAUGCAUCCUUAGAGGCAGGUUUCAUGAGGACACAGAGAAUCCGGUUUUGUGUGUGCCUGAUUUCGUUUUUCUGUCAAAGAGAUACAAAACAAUCAACUGAGUUAUCUUGAACUUACAAAGAUUAAAAAUAAUCAAUUCCUGUUACUAUUUUCAAUUUUUCCCCCAUUUUACUUCUUUAGGUAUGAAGAAAUGUAGCCUAUUAAAACCUGGAUUAAUAAAAACCUUUCAUUAACUUUUAGAAGGUGUGUGAUAACGAAAUCAGUGUAUGUCCAAUAACCUUGUCCAGUGACUAUGAAUUCAGGCCAAUUAAUUAGUGAUUCUCAACCUUGGGAUGAGUUUGGGGGUGGGAGUGGGAUGGAGGUGAAGCCUACACUUAGUAAAGAAGAUGUAUCUAGUA
Homo sapiens (human) is the source of this 1780-nucleotide long non-coding RNA. Ensembl annotates it as long intergenic non-protein coding RNA 3007. Lineage: Eukaryota; Metazoa; Chordata; Mammalia; Primates; Hominidae. The record is from Ensembl.